AGCCCUGGUUUGUGCAGUGUUCCACAUGAUUCUUGGCUGAAUGUCCUUUUUGAGAUCCUGCAGCUGUUGACCCUGAGUGGGAGAAUGCCUUAUCCAGGUGUAGUCUUGUGCACACCUUUCCAGACCCAUAGCAGUGGUUUGGUUGCAGAGCUGUGAUUAUAUGGACAUUCUCCACACUUGGUAUACAGCAGUUCAGACAUGCAGCCCCAUUGGAAUGUGCUGAUAGAGAACGGGUCUCACAAUACUCAUCAUCAUGACAGCCGUUCUGGUCUCGGGCACUACAUCUCCCAUACACCAGCGGGGUUAAAUUCCGGAACUGAUGCCGCCGAACAGGAAGCCAGAUAAAGCCGGAAGACGCAUGCGCAGAUCGCCCGACGGGAGAUGAUUUGGACUACAUCUCCCAGAAUACUUUGCGACGGAUCGCGGCGGUGAUGUUUGUAUGUUUAUAUCUGGAUGAUUUCACACUAAGGAGAGACAAUCAUCCUAGGAUAAUGAUGUGCCCAUCCUGGACGUAAUAUUAUAGAGUGUUGAGGUGUUUGUAUUCUUUGCACUUAAGUCCCACAAGAUUGAAAACACUACAUUUCCCACAAUACCUUGCGGGACCGGAAGUGAAUGGGAAUACUGAGACAACCAAGUCACUUUUAAAGAUAGAGAAUGGCUGUAACAUAUGGGUUAUUAUAUAUGAAGUUUUAUCAUUUUAAUUAUGAUUGAAGAUUGUUAAGGAUUAUGUUGUUUUUUGAGAAUUUCUAAGUGCUUGAUCACAGGAUGACAUCACUUCCUGUGGAUGAAUUUCCUGUCAGCACAACAUUGGCCACUGGCAUCAUAAAUUCCUGGCUCCCCACACAGCAGGUCAUGUCUUGACAAAGGUCCUAGGACCGAAACGCGUCGACAGACCGCUGUGUGAGUAGCCUUUUUUCAUCUAUGGACUUUUAAUUGUAUUUUUUUUGUUACAUUUUUUCUUUUACUCGGAUGAUUUUCUGUGGAACUUGCUUUUAUUGCUUUUUUCAUACAUGUCUUUUAUGGAUUGUUAUACUUUUUGAGGAAUAAAAACUAGUCAGAUAA
Pseudophryne corroboree (corroboree frog) is the source of this 1062-nucleotide long non-coding RNA. RefSeq lists it as uncharacterized. The transcript is spliced from 4 exons. The record is from RefSeq and is a predicted model, not a curated record. NCBI's taxonomy places the organism in Eukaryota, Metazoa, Chordata, Amphibia, Anura, Myobatrachidae.